RNAcentral lists this long non-coding RNA (1062 nucleotides) under Sorghum bicolor (sorghum). RNAcentral describes it as "long non-coding RNA (SBIC_LNC001596)". Lineage: Eukaryota; Viridiplantae; Streptophyta; Magnoliopsida; Poales; Poaceae. The record is from RNAcentral.
GUGCUAGCGCUUCAUUGGCAGUAAGCAUAUUAGUCCUACCUUGCUCAGUCAUACACACCCGAAGCUGCACACACUCUAUAAAUCAAGGCAAACAGAAGCAAGAAUUGGAUUUGUGCCUGCAAUGUAUCGGGCAUGGGUAACCUGCGGGUACCCGUUACUCGCUCGGGCACGGGUAUGGGCGCCCAUUCAUACCCGCCUACGGGUAUGCAUCUUGAGACACGAGACAGGGCAGAAGAUUUUGGGCAGAUUAAAAUUUUUACAAUUUAUUAGUAGAUAUAGAUAUACAUUUAAUACUUUAUGUAUGUAUCCAAACAUUCGAUGUGAUGUAUGGUAAACUUUACUGUCCAUAACUAAACAGGCCCCUGGCUGUGCAAAAAAAAAAAAGGCUGGCACGAUCACGACGAAAAGCACAAGCUAGAAGCCGUACUGUGUGCGCCAAGAAAAAACUGCGGCGCAACAGCGGGCUAACGAGAGCUAUAACAAUAGCUUAGGCCCAGCGGAUUAGAAAGCGGCUAGGCCAUCACUUCAAACCUCAUGACCGAAUCGGAGCAGAUCAAAUAAUACCUGACUGACGAAGCCACAGUGAAGGGAAGGGAAGGCAGGCCGGCACCCGGCAGCUGCAGGCAGGCGAUGUUGAGAUUUGAGAACCCACGACUGCGGUCGUCAGUGUGUCCGGUUUGAUUUCGCACUCCCACCCGUGCAAAGCGCAAUGCUUGUCAAACCCUAUGGCACCUAGGUGCUGCUGUUAGCGCACGCAAUUACUUAGGGCUUGUUUGGCAUAGCUGAACUUCACUAGUAAAACUGUUUUUUUUAGAAAAUAGCUUCAUGAGUGACUUUCUAGAUGAAGCUGAGCUGUUUUAAAAAAAAUAUUUGGCAAAAUAGCUUCACAAACUACUUCAUGCAUAGUUGAGAGAGAGAAAUGAGAGAGAGCUACAAUAAGCUACUUUUUUCAGCUUCAUCCCAACUUAUGUCUUUGUGAGAGGAGGAGAAAAACAGCUUCACCCAUAAAACUGUUUUGGAAAUAAAUGUUUGGCAAAAAAAAAACAACUCACAACAGCUCAU